UGGUAGAUUAUAUUGUAAGUAGCCACGAUA
This 30-nucleotide non-coding RNA is filed under the name Mus musculus (house mouse). The record is from RNAcentral. Lineage: Eukaryota; Metazoa; Chordata; Mammalia; Rodentia; Muridae.